Amphimedon queenslandica is the source of this 531-nucleotide long non-coding RNA. RefSeq lists it as uncharacterized. NCBI's taxonomy places the organism in Eukaryota, Metazoa, Porifera, Demospongiae, Haplosclerida, Niphatidae. The record is from RefSeq and is a predicted model, not a curated record. The transcript is spliced from 2 exons.
CUCCCAUAUUGGAGAUGGAGUAUCCAUGGACCGCGAUCAAGAAUUUUGAUCUUGACUAAAAGACCUUCUCUCUUGAUGUCUUUGAGCGACGGGGCCGUCUUUCACUAUCAUUGGGGACUUGUUGUACUCAAUCCUGGCCUUUCCGAGGCUUACCUCAUCCAUUGCAACUGUAUAUAGCAUUGUAUAUGUAUAACUCAUAAGCAUGAGUUUUACUGUAUUACUGAACAUGUACAAUUAGUGUUUUUACUGUUCUAUUUAUAGUGAGAUGGACUUUGAUGUACACUAAUGAAGUCUUACUCCUUCUCAAGGGGAUAGAUCAUCUUUUACCAAGAUAGGACAUCUUAUAUUCAUUAUAUCUUGUUAAUUGUACAACAUUACUGUAUAUACUGAGAUAUUUAGCUGUUGUUUAAUUACUGUGUGGUGUGUAGACUGUUUUACCUGUAUUUUAGUGUAGUAUCAAGUUUAUUAUAACAAUAACAAUAACUAUUUAGCUAACUAUGAUGGCAGUAGUGUCGUUAUUACUCCAAAGAA